AACCCUCUCAGCAGAUCUUUAUGAAAAAGUCUACCGCAUUUUAAACACUACGAUUGUUGUAUUUUUCUGGUUCCAUCAGACUGACAGCUGGUCAUGAGUGGAGUUCUGUAGGGGUUUGGUGCUAUUCAAUCUAUCUUUAGAGGACC
Molecule: long non-coding RNA, 146 nt
Filed under: Anas platyrhynchos platyrhynchos (common mallard)
Lineage: Eukaryota; Metazoa; Chordata; Aves; Anseriformes; Anatidae
Description: lncRNA (ENSAPLG00000019905.1)
Source: RNAcentral